UCCAACCACAUCACAACCACACCUCAACUCCAUUAACUUCUCAAAUACUUUCUUCUCUCUACUAUAAAUCUAAUCCAAAUUUGCACAUUAUUCCAAAUGAGAAUCAAUCAAAAUGAUAAACCUAAGAUCACAAGCUUUCACAAAGAAACAAAAUGACACAAUUGGUAGAAUCAAACCAAAAGGUCGUUGCAAAAAGCACCCAAAACACAACCAAUCACCUGGCGUGUGUUCUCUUUGUUUAACCAACAUGAAGUUAUAAAGAGCAAGUCAUUUGGAAGAAGAAAAUGUGAAGAUGGUGUUGAUGAGCAUGGAAAUAAAAGAUGUGGAUUUUGGUUCAACUUGUUUCAUGCUAAAAGAAAGAGAAUUGGAGGUUAAUCUCAAAGAGAGAUAAAAAAAGAAGAUGGCUAGCUAAGAGAAGAAAAAGUUCACACAUAUGUACAUCAAACAGAUUAGGAACUAUGGCAAUAUACAACUUCAAUACAACUUAAAUACAUUCUAUUGUUUAGAAUUUAGAUUAUUUUAUUUUAGUUUAGAGUUAUUUUUCUUUUUUUGUGUCAAUAUAUUCUUAA
Molecule: long non-coding RNA, 569 nt
Organism: Vicia villosa (hairy vetch)
Lineage: Eukaryota; Viridiplantae; Streptophyta; Magnoliopsida; Fabales; Fabaceae
Exons: 2
Source: RefSeq, a predicted model, not a curated record